GAGUUUGAUCGUGGCUCAGAUUGAACGCUGGCGGCAUGCCUUACACAUGCGAGUCGAACGGCGGCACGGGAGCUUGCUCCUGGCGGCGAGUGGCGAACGGGUGAGUAAUGCAUCGGAACGUAUCCUGGAGUGGGGGAUAACGUAGCGAAAGUUACGCUAAUACCGCAUAUUCUGUGAGCAGGAAAGCGGGGGACCUUCGGGCCUCGCGCUCUUGGAGCGGCCGAUGUCGGAUUAGCUAGUUGGUGAGGUAAAGGCUCACCAAGGCGACGAUCCGUAGCAGGUCUGAGAGGAUGAUCUGCCACACUGGAACUGAGACACGGUCCAGACUCCUACGGGAGGCAGCAGUGGGAAUUUUGGACAAUGGGGGCAACCCUGAUCCAGCCAUGCCGCGUGAGUGAAGAAGGCCUGGUGUAAGUACGUCUUCGUCGAGGAGGAAAG
This 438-nucleotide ribosomal RNA is filed under the name bacterium enrichment culture clone ALO1_GLFRUDD03G3LOE. Its description in RNAcentral is "bacterial SSU rRNA". It matches the Rfam family "Bacterial small subunit ribosomal RNA", at positions 9 to 451 of the family's 1533-position model. The record is from RNAcentral.